UUCCCACACCGGGAAUCGAACCCGGGCCUCCUGGGUGAGAGCCAGGUAUCCUAACCACUAGACCAUGUGGGA
Molecule: transfer RNA, 72 nt
Filed under: Araneus ventricosus
Lineage: Eukaryota; Metazoa; Arthropoda; Arachnida; Araneae; Araneidae
Description: tRNA-Glu
Source: RNAcentral